GGGUUCGAUUCUGGCUCAGGAUGAACGCUAGCUACAGGCUUAACACAUGCAAGUCGAGGGGCAGCAUUGGAGUAGCAAUACUUCAGAUGGCGACCGGCGCACGGGUGAGUAACACGUAUCCAACCUGCCGCUUACUCGGGGAUAGCCUUUCGAAAGAAAGAUUAAUACCCGAUGGUAUAAAGAGUUCGCAUGUUCUCUUUAUUAAAGAAUUUCGGUAAGCGAUGGGGAUGCGUUCCAUUAGAUAGUUGGCGGGGUAACGGCCCACCAAGUCUACGAUGGAUAGGGGUUCUGAGAGGAAGGUCCCCCACAUUGGAACUGAGACACGGUCCAAACUCCUACGGGAGGCAGCAGUGAGGAAUAUUGGUCAAUGGACGAGAGUCUGAACCAGCCAAAGUAGCGUGAAGGAUGACUGCCCUAUGGGUUGUAAACUUCUUUUAUAAGGGAAUAAAGUGAGGGACGUGUCCCUUUUGUAUGUACCUUAUGAAUAAGGAUCGGCUAACUCCGUGCCAGCAGCGGC
Molecule: ribosomal RNA, 517 nt
Filed under: uncultured bacterium
Lineage: Bacteria
Description: bacterial SSU rRNA
Rfam family: Bacterial small subunit ribosomal RNA
Source: RNAcentral